GACGAACGCUGGCGGCGUGCUUAACACAUGCAAGUCGAACGGAAAGGCCCUGCUUUUGUGGGGUGCUCGAGUGGCGAACGGGUGAGUAACACGUGAGUAACCUGCCCUUGACUUUGGGAUAACUUCAGGAAACUGGGGCUAAUACCGGAUAGGAGCUCCUGCUGCAUGGUGGGGGUUGGAAAGUUUCGGCGGUUGGGGAUGGACUCGCGGCUUAUCAGCUUGUUGGUGGGGUAGUGGCUUACCAAGGCUUUGACGGGUAGCCGGCCUGAGAGGGUGACCGGCCACAUUGGGACUGAGAUACGGGCCAGACUCCUACGGGAGGCAGCAGUGGGGAAUAUUGCACAAUGGGCGGAAGCCUGAUGCAGCAACGCCGCGUGCGGGAUGACGGCCUUAGGGGUGUAAACCGCUUUCGCCUGUGAAGAAGAGUGAGUGACGGUAAUGGGUAAAGAAGCACCGGCUAACUACGUG
Molecule: ribosomal RNA, 468 nt
Filed under: uncultured bacterium
Lineage: Bacteria
Description: partial 16S ribosomal RNA
Rfam family: Bacterial small subunit ribosomal RNA
Source: RNAcentral